This 330-nucleotide unclassified non-coding RNA is filed under the name soil metagenome. Its description in RNAcentral is "partial contains 5.8S ribosomal RNA, internal transcribed spacer 2, and large subunit ribosomal RNA". The stretch from base 1 to 120 matches the Rfam family "5.8S ribosomal RNA", at positions 35 to 154 of the family's 154-position model. The record is from RNAcentral.
GAUGAAGAACGCAGCGAAAUGCGAUACGUAAUGUGAAUUGCAGAAUUCAGUGAAUCAUCGAGUCUUUGAACGCACAUUGCGCCCCCUGGUAUUCCGGGGGGCAUGCCUGUCCGAGCGUCAUUAUAACCACUCAAGCUCUCGCUUGGUAUUGGGGUUCGCGGUUUCGCGGCCCCUAAAAUCAGUGGCGGUGCCUGUCGGCUCUACGCGUAGUAAUACUCCUCGCGAUUGAGUCCGGUAGGUCUACUUGCCAGCAACCCCUAAUUUUUUUAAGGUUGACCUCGGAUCAGGUAGGGAUACCCGCUGAACUUAAGCAUAUCAAUAAGCGGAGGA